CUGAAGCUGGGCUGUACUGAGCAGAGCCUCGGGAUGGGGAAGCAGCGCCUGCAGUGGCUGCUGACCUCCAGGUAACCCGCCGUGUGCCCGAUGCUGGGAACCUCCCCUGAGCGCUCUCGGUUCAGGCUUUCUGCACCUGGCUUCUCCACCCCAGGGACCUAAGCGGAAGAAGCCAGUGCUUAACCAGAAGAGUGGGAUUCAGGUGGAAGAUUCCAGGCACUGGCUCCCCAGGCUGGCUCCUCUCAGGGCCCGGCCAGGGCUGCAGCUGCCCCACCUCGAGGCUCACCCCAGGCAUGCAGAGUGGAAGACUGGGAUCCCCAACAUCCAUGGGCUCUGCUGGACUUGCUGAGGCUCGGGGCUGGCCGGGCACUCCCAGGAAUGGCCCCCUGGCCUGGGCACUGUCAGGGCCCGAGGGGCACAAACCUCGCUCCUCACCCAUGGAGCUGGGUAUAGAGGAGCCAUUUCAUGGUUAGAGCUCCCAACACCCAGACAAAUCCCACUGGAAGCCUCAGGGUGGGGAAGCUGCAUGUGCAGAGGUCCCCAAGCCACAUGGUGCCUCUGGGGCGCUGCUGUUGCAGAGCCUCGGGCUGGGAUCCUGACUCAGCUGCUCCCCAGCUGGGCUGCCUUCAUAUUUAAAUUUCAGUUUCCUCUUUUGCAAAGUGUCAAUCGUAAUACCCACGAGUCACCUGUAUAGCUCUAGACAGGAUUCCGAGAACAGCGCCGGAGUGAGGGAGACGCGCUGUUAGCCGUGCAGUCAUACAGGAAAGUCCUACGGAACACAGGUGACGAUCGCCUUCCGUUCCAGUCCGGCAGAUGUCAGUUCUGACAAACGUUCGUGUCUUUUCUUCCAGCUUAUUUUUCAUAAUAGAGUGUAAUACAAAUUGGAGCCAUCCUGUACACCUGCUUCCCUUUCCAAUUUAAUGUAUCAGAGCAUUUUUCUGUGUCAUUAAAUAUUCCUUUCUGACAU
RNAcentral lists this long non-coding RNA (967 nucleotides) under Cercocebus atys (sooty mangabey). Its description in RNAcentral is "lncRNA (ENSCATG00000045733.1)". Lineage: Eukaryota; Metazoa; Chordata; Mammalia; Primates; Cercopithecidae. The record is from RNAcentral.